CACGUAGGGUCCGAGCGUUGUCCGGAAUUACUGGGCGUAAAGCGUGCGCAGGCGGUUGGGUCAGUCGCUGGUGAAAGCCCCACGCUCAACGUGGGAAUGGCCAACGAGACGGCCCGACUGGAGGCAGGGAGAGGCCGGUGGAAUUCCGGGUGUAGUGGUGAAAUGCGCAGAUAUCAGGAAGAACACCCGUGGCGAAGGCGGCUCUCUGGUACGUGACUGACGCUGAGACGCGAAAGCGUGGGGAGCAAACAGG
This 253-nucleotide ribosomal RNA is filed under the name uncultured bacterium. Its description in RNAcentral is "partial 16S ribosomal RNA". It matches the Rfam family "Bacterial small subunit ribosomal RNA", at positions 524 to 776 of the family's 1533-position model. The record is from RNAcentral.